This 223-nucleotide unclassified non-coding RNA is filed under the name Hevea brasiliensis (rubber tree). Lineage: Eukaryota; Viridiplantae; Streptophyta; Magnoliopsida; Malpighiales; Euphorbiaceae. The record is from RNAcentral.
UUGGUUUCACUACUUAUCCUCACACAGUAAUCAAUAGUUCCUCAAUCUCUCAUCAAAACACCACGCGGAACUGCGGCGCAUCGGCAUCACUAGCAGGGAGGAUUUCCCAGCGGCAAGGCUCGAGCUCGUCCGACACCGGGCAGUACCCGGCCAGAGUAACCUUAUCGGUCGAAGCAGCGAUGGAGCCAAACUCGAACACGGUGACGUUCUUGGCGGGUCGGGG